GACGAACGCUGGCGGCGUGCUUAACACAUGCAAGUCGAACGGAAAGGCCCUGCUUUUGUGGGGUGCUCGAGUGGCGAACGGGUGAGUAACACGUGAGUAACCUGCCCUUGACUUUGGGAUAACUUCAGGAAACUGGGGCUAAUACCGGAUAGGAGCUCCUGCUGCAUGGUGGGGGUUGGAAAGUUUCGGCGGUUGGGGAUGGACUCGCGGCUUAUCAGCUUGUUGGUGGGGUAGUGGCUUACCAAGGCUUUGACGGGUAGCCGGCCUGAGAGGGUGACCGGCCACACUGGAACUGAGACACGGUCCAGACUCCUACGGGAGGCAGCAGUAGGGAAUCUUCCGCAAUGGGCGAAAGCCUGACGGAGCAACGCCGCGUGAGUGAUGAAGGUCUUCGGAUCGUAAAACUCUGUUAUUAGGGAAGAACAAAUGUGUAAGUAACUAUGCACGUCUUGACGGUACCUAAUCAGAAAGCCACGGCUAACUACGUG
This 488-nucleotide ribosomal RNA is filed under the name uncultured bacterium. RNAcentral describes it as "partial 16S ribosomal RNA". It matches the Rfam family "Bacterial small subunit ribosomal RNA", at positions 28 to 507 of the family's 1533-position model. The record is from RNAcentral.